This 408-nucleotide ribosomal RNA is filed under the name Clostridioides difficile. RNAcentral describes it as "bacterial SSU rRNA". It matches the Rfam family "Bacterial small subunit ribosomal RNA", at positions 479 to 888 of the family's 1533-position model. Lineage: Bacteria; Bacillati; Bacillota; Clostridia; Peptostreptococcales; Peptostreptococcaceae. The record is from RNAcentral.
UUGGGGAGGCAGCCCCGGCUAACUACGUUCCAUCCGCAGCUGUCAUACGUAAGGGGCUAGCGUGAUCCGGAUUUACUGUGCGUAAAGGGUGUGUAGGCGGUCUUUCAAGUCAGGAGUGAAAGGCUACGGCUCAACCGUAGUAAGCUCUUGAAACUGGGAGACUUGAGUGCAUGAGAGGAGAGUGGAAUUCCUAGUGUAGCGGUGAAAUGCGUAGAUAUUAGGAGGAACACCAGUUGCGAAGGCGGCUCUCUGUACUGUAACUGACGCUGACGCACGAAAGAGUGGGGAUCACACAGGAGUAGAUACCCUGGUAGUCCACGCUGGAAAAGGUGAGUACAAGGUGUCCGGGGUUACCCCCCUCGGUGCCGCAGCUAACGCAUUAAGUACUCCGCCUGGGAAGGCCGGCCG